GACAGAGGGUGCAAACGUUGUUCGGAAUUACUGGGCGUAAAGCGCGUGUAGGCGGCUAUGCAAGUCGGGGGUGAAAUCCCGAGGCUCAACCUCGGAACUGCCUUCGAUACUGCGGGUCUCGAGUCCGGGAGAGGUGAGUGGAAUUCCUAGUGUAGAGGUGAAAUUCGUAGAUAUUAGGAAGAACACCAGUGGCGAAGGCGGCUCACUGGCCCGGUACUGACGCUGAGGCGCGAAAGCGUGGGGAGCAAACAGG
This 253-nucleotide ribosomal RNA is filed under the name uncultured bacterium. RNAcentral's name for it is "partial 16S ribosomal RNA". It matches the Rfam family "Bacterial small subunit ribosomal RNA", at positions 524 to 776 of the family's 1533-position model. The record is from RNAcentral.